Molecule: long non-coding RNA, 1411 nt
Filed under: Equus caballus (horse)
Lineage: Eukaryota; Metazoa; Chordata; Mammalia; Perissodactyla; Equidae
Description: lncRNA (ENSECAG00000049575.1)
Source: RNAcentral
UACCAAUAUCAACAAUGUAUUUGAUUAUGUAUGCUUAGGUGUACAAAAAUGCUUAUGUAUGUUUAUGUAUACAUGAGAUGAAUGAUGGCAGUGACACAGGGAUGAGAGGGAACAGUUAGGAAUAUUUUGUUAACAUAAGGUACUUUCCCUACCUGCGAAGUGGUAUAGUAUUAUCUCAAAGUGGACUUAGGUUAGUUGUAAAUGUAUUGCAAACCCUAGGACAAUGGCUAGAAAAAGCAAAAAAAACCCAAAAAAAGUGUAAUUGCUAUGCUAAGAAAGGAGAGAAAAUGAAAUUACAUAAAAUGCUUAAUUAAAAGUACAAAAGGCAGAAAACAUGUGGAAGACAAAAAUGGGACUAAAGAACAAGGCAGCAAGUAGGAAAAAGUAUCAAAUAGAAAAUAGUAACAAAUAUGGUAAAUAUUAAUGAAGCUAUUGAUAAUCAUUUCAAAUGUUAAUGUUCUAAAUGAAAAUAAAAAACAGAGAUUAUCAGAAUGUAUCAACAAACAAGACCUAAUUAUGCACUGUUUACAAGAAACCCACUUUAAAUAUAAAGACAUAUAUAAAUUAAAAGUAAAGGGAUCGAGAAAGAUAUAUCAUAACACUAACAGAAGAAAGUGGGAGUAGCUAUAUUAAUUUCACCUAGGGCAGACUUCAGAGCAAGGAAAUUUAUUAGGGAUAAACAGAGGCACCACAAAUGAUAAGGGGUCAAUACUCCAAGAAGACAGAACAAUCCUUAAUGUGUAUGCACAACAACAGAGCAUCAAAAUAUGUGAAGCAAAAAUUGAUAGAACUGCAGGGAAAACAGAUGAAUCCAGUAUCACAGUUGGAGAUUUCUCUCCAACAUCCCUCUAUCAGAAAUCAACAGGUCCAGGACGCAGAAAAUAAGUAAAGCUGUAGUUGAACUCAACAGCACCAUUAAUUAACUGGAUAUAAUUAACGUCUAUAAACUACUUCAUCCAACAAGAGCAGAUUACACAUUAUUCUCAGGCUCACAUGGAACAUUCACCAAAUAGACCACAUUCUGAGCCGUAAGAUGUACUUUAACAAAUUUAAGAGUAGAGAUCAUACAAUGUAUGUUCUUAGACUACAAUGGAAUUAAACUAGAAAUCAAUAACAGAAAGAUAGUUAGAAAACCUCAAAAUACUUAGAAAUUAAGCAAUAUACAUUUUUUUAGGAAGAUUAGCUCUGAAAUAACAUCUGCUGCCAAUCCUCCUCUUUUUGCUGAGGAAGACUGGCCCUAAGCUAACAUUCAUGCCCAUCUUCCUCUGUUUUAUAUGUGGGAUGCCUAUCCACAGCAUAGCUUGACAAACAGUGCCAUGUCCGCACUCGGGAUCCAUGCUGGCAAACCCUGAGCCGCCGAAACGGAACAUAUGCACUUAACUGCUGCGCCACUGGGCCAGCCUGCAAUGUA